RNAcentral lists this ribosomal RNA (447 nucleotides) under uncultured bacterium. RNAcentral describes it as "partial 16S ribosomal RNA". It matches the Rfam family "Bacterial small subunit ribosomal RNA", at positions 29 to 523 of the family's 1533-position model. The record is from RNAcentral.
AACGAACGCUGGCGGCAGGCCUAACACAUGCAAGUCGAGCGCCCCGCAAGGGGAGCGGCGGACGGGUGAGUAACGCGUGGGAACGUACCCUUUGCUACGGAAUAGCCUCGGGAAACUGGGAGUAAUACCGUAUGUGCCCUUCGGGGGAAAGAUUUAUCGGCAAAGGAUCGGCCCGCGUUGGAUUAGGUAGUUGGUGGGGUAAUGGCCUACCAAGCCGACGAUCCAUAGCUGGUUUGAGAGGAUGAUCAGCCACACUGGGACUGAGACACGGCCCAGACUCCUACGGGAGGCAGCAGUGGGGAAUCUUAGACAAUGGGCGCAAGCCUGAUCUAGCCAUGCCGCGUGAGCGAUGAAGGCCUUAGGGUUGUAAAGCUCUUUCAGUGGGGAAGGUAAUGACUGUACCCACAGAAGAAGCCCCGGCUAACUCCGUGCCAGCAGCCGCCGUAA